This 492-nucleotide ribosomal RNA is filed under the name uncultured bacterium. RNAcentral's name for it is "partial 16S ribosomal RNA". It matches the Rfam family "Bacterial small subunit ribosomal RNA", at positions 29 to 507 of the family's 1533-position model. The record is from RNAcentral.
AGUGAACGCUGGCGGUAGGCCUAACACAUGCAAGUCGAACGGCAGCACAGUAAGAGCUUGCCCUUACGGGUGGCGAGUGGCGGACGGGUGAGGAAUACAUCGGAAUCUACUUUUUCGUGGGGGAUAACGUAGGGAAACUCACGCUAAUACCGCAUACGACCUACGGGUGAAAGCAGGGGAUCUUCGGACCUUGCGCGAUUGAAUGAGCCGAUGUCGGAUUAGCUAGUUGGCGGGGUAAAGGCCCACCAAGGCGACGAUCCGUAGCUGGUCUGAGAGGAUGAUCAGCCACACUGGAACUGAGACACGGUCCAGACUCCUACGGGAGGCAGCAGUGGGGAAUAUUGGACAAAGGGCGCAAGCCUGAUCCAGCCAUACCGCGUGGGUGAAGAAGGCCUUCGGGUUGUAAAGCCCUUUUGUUGGGAAAGAAAAGCAGCAGGUUAAUACCCCGCUGUUCUGACGGUACCCAAAGAAUAAGCACCGGCUAACUUCGUG